CUCACCCUCUUGCUAUUGCCUAUUGCUCCUCCUCCUCCUUGACAAAUUACGAUACAGAAAGUUCAGGAAGAAGGAUUUCUAUUUUUUCUCAUUUUCAUUCUUUGCUGCAAAAAGGGUCAGUUCAAUUUCCUUUUUCCAUCUCAUAUAUCAACUUCUCAGUCCCUUGUUUACAAGUUAUUAUUUGUUUGUUGUUUAUGGAAUGACAUAAAUUGUUCAAUUCGUUUGUAUUAUUUAAAUUUCUCAUUUAGUUCAUAGAACUGAAUUCUGAAUAUGAAAGCUAAAUUCAAUACUCUGAUCCAAAUCCGCUUCAUUUUCUGCGGUUCUGGAAAUACCUACAAUCCCCUUUCUCCCAAAACCCCAAUCUUGAACCCCUGUUUAUUUAGUACUUUGCUUAAUUCUGCAGAAACCCUAACAAAUGUUAAAGUAGAAGAAUUUGCUGCUGAAUACCAGCCGAAAGACCCCAC
RNAcentral lists this long non-coding RNA (464 nucleotides) under Panax ginseng (ginseng). Its description in RNAcentral is "long non-coding RNA (PGIN_LNC012591)". The record is from RNAcentral. Lineage: Eukaryota; Viridiplantae; Streptophyta; Magnoliopsida; Apiales; Araliaceae.